GGAAUAUGGCUAUAGAGAUGAUGAUCGGUAUGGCAGAUAUGGGGAUUCAAACAGUCGUGAUGGAGAUCGUUAUGGCAGAGAUUAUGAAGACCGCUACGGCAGAGAUGGUGACAGGGAUGAUGACUACCGAGGUAGAAGUAGAAGUGUUGAUGAUUAUCAAUAUGGCACAAGAUCUAGGAGCUCUGAUAGAGACCGUGCUUUUGAUGAGGAUGGUGCUUCUUCUCGGUAUGCACUUAUAUACUUUUGAAUUUUGAAACCUUUUUGUUGCUAUGUUCUUCUUGGAAACAUAUUAAUGUUGAUUUAAUUAUGUUAACCUGGUCUCAAUUUUUUGUUGAAGUAAUUAAUUUUCCCUUUCUUUAUGGGUAUCAUGAAAACCAUACAAAAUAGGUGUAUAUAUUAAUAGUUUGUGUUGCACUAGAGUAGGAUUCUUAAAUGGUGCAUUCACUUGGUAAUUUUCAAUGCAACAUUUCUAUCCAAAUGAGGUUUUGGUUUUCAUUUCACCAAGUCAUGGAAGAUUUUAUAGUUAUGAUCCUUCCUUGUCAAUUUCAAGCAUACUGCUCAUACUUUCGUGGUAGGCUUGAGACAGAAUGUAAUUAGCAUGACUAUCAUCUCUGCAGGGGCAGUGGUGAUAGAGCUGAUGAUCACUCUCAAGAUGGAAGGUAGCCAUGAGUGGAUGCAGUCAAAACUUGUAUUAGUUGAUAUAUAUAUUUUCUCAAAGGAGAUCACAGCCUAGGAAUAAAAGAAGAGAUUGCAAGUGCUGAGAUUCAAACUCUACACUUGUUGGAUGCCACCUCUUAUGGGUGUCUGCAUGAACCAACUAGGCUAACCUUUGAUUCUAGUUGAUCAAAUUUUUUAUUCGAUUGGUUUCUUGUUUCUGAAAUUUUCUGAAUAUAUAUAUUUUGUUCAGGCGGCAUGAGCGGAAACAAUCUGAACAAAAUAUUGGUGCUCCUCCUAGUUAUGAAGAAGCAGUAACUGAGACUCAGAGUCCUGUCCGUAGCGAAAGGUAUUGCUUUUCACCUUAAACUCUAGAGACAUCAGACAUGUUGCUUGGAACUGUGUUUUGGUUUGUUGCUGCAUUCUGAAAAGAUGUUUGAUAAUAGGGUUGGCCAAACUUCUGUAGCAGCUGCUCCUCCUCCUCCUCCUACCAAUAAUCCUAACCAAGCAGCCUCUGAUCUUAGUAACUCAGCUUCUCCUCCAAAUCAACAAGCAGAGGCUUUUGAUGAAUUUGAUCCCCGUGGUUCAUUUUCAGGUAUAAAAUUCUAUAUAAAUUCUAUGGUUUCUAUGUUCCAAUUGCAUUACCUGGAUGGUCAUUGUUUAUUGCUUUGAUGUGCUGGUCUUUUGACUUGAACUAUCAUCAUGCAAAGUGUAAUUUUCUGAGUUGUCUAAAUAUUAAGUUUGACAUGCUCUGUUGCUUCACAUUCCAUGCUAUUUUUAAAUUUUUUUUUUGUGGUAGUUUUUAGUGUAUUUUAUAUCUGCAAAAUGUAUAUUUCUUGCCAAAUUGCGGAUAUUACUUUCUGGGGAGGUAAGCCUUUUGCAGUUGGUUAUCUGGUAGUGACAGUUUUAGUGUUUUGAUGACUUCUUAUUCAAUUUUGUGCUAUGUUUUCUCAAUCCAUAUGAAAUUACUGGUUGGAGUUUCAUAUGAUUGCAUGGAACUUAGUUUGGAAUCUUUUGAUGCCAUUCCAUUUAUCCCUUGUAACUUGAACUUAUUAGUUCAUCUUUUGCUCAUCAAUUAUAGCUGCCCCAACUCCUGCUCCUGCUCCUGCUCCUGCUGCUGUUCCCACUGCCACAGCUGUCCCUGCUACUGCUGUUCCCACUGCUUCGACUAAUGCUGAAAUAGACUUGCUGGAUGCUCUUUCAGAUUCAUUUGCCAUUGUGCCAGUUACACCUGAAAUCCCUGCUACUGAGGUUGAUGCCCCUGCAAACUCUGGUGCUAUGCCCACCUUUGCUGCUAAUCAGCCGGCAUCUAAUUUUGGAAAUCAGGUAACAUGGUCCAUUUAAUAUUGAGGGAUCAUAUACAAGGAUUUCAUUAAACCUGUCUGCAAUAUGUCUAUUUAUGGUACAACGAAUUUGGAUAAGCUGUUCUGUUGUUGCCUAAUGUGUUUCAUUUUUUCUUUCAAAGUUGUAUAUUUGAAAAGCACCUAAAAAAAAUUGAUAGUUAAAAAUGAAUGAAUUAUUGAAAUCCUGUGUACAAUAGAAAGGGUAGCAUAAAGGUAUUAGGGUGAAUUUGUUGCCAUACUAAAAUUUUUAGGGGAUAUUGUUCCUGAUUCAGGGUUUUGAUGAUCCAUUUGGUGAUAAUCCUUUUAAAGCUGUCGCUUCAACUGACUCUGCCCCAGCUGUACGACAAAUUUCCACUUCCAUGCCUACUUUCCAGCCUGCUACAAACCAAAAUGAUGUAGCUCCUCAGCCACCUUCUGCAAGUUCCGAGACUGUCACAAAUUUUGACUUUGGGAACUCAUUCUCUGCAAAUGCUUACUCUGCACCCAAUAGCACAAACUCCCAGUUUCUUCCUCAAGAAAUGUCAACUCAAAAUCAGGGAAGUGCUUAUAGCCAAACAACACAGCCAGGUAUCUAUGGUCAACAGGCACAAUCAAGUGCUAAUAUGUACAGCCAACCGACACAGCCAAGUGCUAAUCCAUACGGCCAACCUGCACAGCCUGGUGCUAACGCAUAUGACCAAGUUGGACAACCUAGUUCUAAUGCAUAUACCCAAUCUGUGCAGCCGAGUGUUAACCUUUAUAGCCAACCGCCACAGCUGGGUGCUAAUCCCUACAGCCAACCUGCACAGUUUAACUCUGGGAACCUCUCACGGCAGGGUUCUCUUGUUCCAGUUUCUUCACAGGGUGCUCACCAGAUCACAAAUUCACCCGCUGUACAAAAUAAUAAUGAUUUCCUAAGUGGCUUAAUUUCAGAACCAGGGUCAAAGCCAGCACAGACAGUCACUCCCACAUCAACAGGAGCACUUGCUAUAGUUCCACAACCCUCAAAGGAUAAAUUUGAGCUUAAGUCGGCGGUUUGGGCUGAUACAUUAAGCAGAGGAUUGGUGAAUUUGAACAUAUCUGGACGUAAGUAAACAUUCUUCUUCUCUAAAAAUUGUCAUCAAGUAUGUCCUUUCUGCAUGAUCUAACUUUAUUGUUUUCGGUAUGCAGCUAAAACAAAUCCGUUGGCUGAUAUUGGAGUCGACUUCGAUGCUCUUAAUCGGAAGGAAAAAAGGAUGGAAAAACCUGCCCCAAAUGCAGUGACAUCUACAGUUACAAUGGGUAAAGCAAUGGGAUCUGGGUCUGGGAUUGGUCGUUCUGGUGCUACCACUCUUAGACCUCCCGCAAAUCCUAUGAUGGGUUCUAGUAUGGGUAGCAUGGGCAUGGGAAUGGGUGGUGGACCUGUUGGAGGCAUGGGAAUGGGAGGAGGCUAUGGUGGUAUGAAUCAACAACCAAUGGGCAUGGGGAUGGGGAUGGGGAUGAACAACAUGGGCAUGAAUCCAGGCAUGGGGAUGAAUAUGGGAAUGGGACAAAGACCCCAAAUGCAAGGAAUGCCUGGCGGUUAUAACCCUAUGAUGGGAUCUGGAGGCUAUUCUCAACAGCCAUACGGUGGUGGUUAUCGAUGAGAAUGGAUUCCCAUCCCAAAGAAGAGGAGUAAGGAAAUUACAUACAAGGCUGUGAUAUAAGGGUAAAAAUGAGAUGGGAAAAUAGCUAAAACAUUAGAUGUGGGGAAUGGAAUCCCAAAGUAGAAGCAGUAGAGUCGCACAUUUGUGUUGGCAGAUCGGAACCAUGUUUUUUAUUCAUAUAAUUGUCAUUCUUGGUUAAGCUAUUGCAGUGUUUGGGCCAUAAUCACUCCUCCCAUUGAUUACUGGUUUGAGCUGUUGUGAAAUUGUGUGGAUGAUGAUGACCUUUCUCGGCUUUGCAUUUUUUGUCUUAAUAUUCUUCCCUAUAAUAUAUAUAUUUUUUAUGGUAAAAAAAAUAAACUAAUCCUUCAAUUUUAUUUGAAACUGUAGUAAUUUCACUUUAUCUGUUACAGAAGCAGCAAUAGCUAGAUUGACGAAGCCUGUUGAAUUUUUUCUUUUCAAAAUUAUUUGCUAAGGUAUGAUGAAGCUUCAUUUCUGUAAUUAAGGUCCAAUAUCUUACUUUAUUAAUUUUUUUAAUCAAUUUCUGCAAUAAAAUUUUAAUAUGCAAUCCAUUAGAAAUAUGUUUGUGUUUUUUUGAAAGAGACAAGUCCCUGUUACUUGAAAUAUUCGUGUUCUUUAUCAAAUACAUAGAGCUGAAGCAUCCACAACAAAUACAUAAUCAAAUGCUAAACCUAAUUUGAAUGUGCAGCAAAAGAGAGAGAAUUUUAAAUAAAGUUGUAUUUUCAAGUAAAUUUAUAUAAAGAAACAAAGAAAAGCAUUCAAAAAAAAAAAUAAAAAAUCUAAAAUCAACCAUCAAACAUCACAAGUUUCAGCUUCACAUUAUUACAUGACUUCUAUUUAAAACUUAAAUGGUCAGAAAAAUUAAAGUACAAUGACAACAACUAACAUCCCAAGUAACAAGAUAAAGAUCAGAUCCUGUUUUUCAGUCUUAGAGUUUUCUUGUGUUGGAACUAAGAACAAAGAUGAAUGAAAAAUAACAGAAGCUUGAGCUUGAAGGCUCGAUGGCUUGCUGAGCAAACAAAACAGAAUCGGGCUUGAAAGACAAGAGAAAACAAGAAAAGAGAGUUUUUUAUGAUGAAUCUUUGAUGAAUUUUUCAUUAACUUGAAAGAUGGCAUAUUGCCAAUACAUAUACCAGACAAAAGCUGGUCAAGAUGAAACAAAGUUACCUAAACAUCUACCUAACUCCACUAAGUAGCAUUGUAACUUGUUAAACAAAACUUGCACACUUGGUAAAGCUGAUUUAUCAGCUCAAACAUCAACAAAUUACAUCAAGUACAUUAACAAAUUAGUUCUAAUCUAACUAAGUUACUAUCAUUUGAAAGUAACAAAAUGAACAGCAGCAUGAACUUCAGCUGCAACUGCUUGGCUCGGGCAACUUCUCUGCUUCUUGUCUGCAUGCAGGCCAGCUUCAACAGUUUCAUUUUUUCUUCUAAAGUUGUAUAUUUGAAAAGCGUCUAAAACAAAAUUGAUAGUUAAAAAGGAAUGAAUUAUUGAAAUCCUGUGUACAAUAGAAAGGGUAGCAUAAAGGUAUUAGGGUGAAUUUGUUGCCAUACUAAAAUUUUUAGGGGAUAUUGUUCCUGAUUCAGGAUUUUGAUGAUCCAUUUGGUGAUAAUCCUUUUAAAGCUGUCCCUUCAACUGACUCUGCUCCAGCUGUACAACAAAUUUCCACUUCCAUGCCUACUUUCCAGCCUGCUACAAACCAAAAUGAAGUAGCUCCUCAGCCACCUUCUGCAAGUUCCAAGACAGUCACAAAUUUUGACUUUGGGAACUCAUUCUCUGCAAAUGCUUAUUCUGCACCCAAUGGCGCAAACUCCCAGUUUCUUCCUCAAGAAAUGUCAACUCAAAAUCGGGGAACUGCUUAUAGCCAAACAACACAGCCAGGUAUCUAUGGUCAACAGGCACAAUCAAGUGCUAAUAUGUACAGCCAACCGACACAGCCAAGUGCUAAUCCAUAUGGCCAACCUGCACAGCCUGGUGCUAACGCAUAUGACCAAGUUGGACAACCUAGUUCUAAUGCAUAUAGCCAAUCUGUGCAGCCGAGUGUUAAUCCUUAUAGCCAACCGCCACAGGCAGGUGCUAAUCCCUACAGCCAACCUGCACGGUUUAACUCUGGGAACCUAUCACGGCAGGGUUCUCUUGUUCCAGUUUCUUCACAGGGUGCUCACCAGAUCACAAAUUCACCCGCUGUACAAAAUAAUAAUGAUUUCCUAAGUGGCUUAAUUUCAGAACCAGGGUCAAAGCCAGCACAGACGGUCACUCCCACAUCAAUGGGAGCACUUGCUAUAGUUCCACAACCCUCAAAGGAUAAAUUCGAGCUUAAGUCGGCGG
This 5948-nucleotide long non-coding RNA is filed under the name Gossypium barbadense (sea-island cotton). Its description in RNAcentral is "long non-coding RNA (GBAR_LNC013863)". Lineage: Eukaryota; Viridiplantae; Streptophyta; Magnoliopsida; Malvales; Malvaceae. The record is from RNAcentral.